Molecule: ribosomal RNA, 402 nt
Filed under: Roseomonas gilardii subsp. rosea
Lineage: Bacteria; Pseudomonadati; Pseudomonadota; Alphaproteobacteria; Acetobacterales; Roseomonadaceae
Description: bacterial SSU rRNA
Rfam family: Bacterial small subunit ribosomal RNA
Source: RNAcentral
CAGCCCUUGACAUGGUCACGACCGGUCCAGAGAUGGGCUUUCCCCGCAAGGGGCGUGAUGCACAGGUGCUGCAUGGCUGUCGUCAGCUCGUGUCGUGAGAUGUUGGGUUAAGUCCCGCAACGAGCGCAACCCUCGCCUCUAGUUGCCAGCAUGUUCGGGUGGGCACUCUAGAGGAACUGCCGGUGACAAGCCGGAGGAAGGUGGGGAUGACGUCAAGUCCUCAUGGCCCUUAUGGGCUGGGCUACACACGUGCUACAAUGGCGGUGACAGAGGGAAGCCAGGUCGCGAGGCCGAGCCGAUCCCGAAAAGCCGUCUCAGUUCGGAUUGCACUCUGCAACUCGGGUGCAUGAAGGUGGAAUCGCUAGUAAUCGCGGAUCAGCACGCCGCGGUGAAUACGUUCCC